GAGGGAGAGGGAGAGGGAGAGGGAGAACUUGGAAGCAGGUAGGAGCCAGGAGAGCCUGGCUGCUGCCUUCUUUUCCAGGCAAGGACGAAGGCCACAUACCCAUCCACAGAGACUUAGGUGUCACCAGAAUCCCUGGGUUUUACUGGCUCUUGUUAAGAGUCACAGAAGUCUCAGAAUCCAGCGAAACCCCAGCCUGGAGCUGGAACAGACAGACAUGUGUACAGACCUGUGGGGCAGAAGGAAGCUGCUGAAGGUUGCCCGAGGACUUAGCAUGGUGUUGGUACCUGCUCCAUCCAUCGAUGCUCUCUCUGUGGAUGUGGUAUUCUCAGAGCCAGGAUGGACCAAGACAACACAGAACCAAGACCUCUCUCUGCUUCGUCUUGUCUUCAGCACCCCUGGGAGAGUCACAUGCCACUUCCCUAUCUCAAAUUUAGUCCACCCCUCCCCCCUCCUUUGAACCCCACUGAACAUCACCUUGUUCUUUUACCCCAGGCAGAGCUACAGUAUUUGAAGUUUACAGAUUUCCUAGAAAUGGCAAUGAAAGCUGUCAUAUUCAAGGCCAACCAUCCUGUUCCAUUCGACAGCAUCUCCAUUUUCCUCCUUGCCUCCAGUCACCUACCAAGGCCCAUCUAGGAAGGUUGAAACAUUGCUGCAGUGGACCAUAUAUUAGGUUCCUAUUGGACUCUGCAAGAUUCUUCACAGUUCUGAAUUAUUACUGACUCUUCCAUCUCAACAGGUCCACCCACUUGAGGAAGAGACCAACAAUGUGCUUUCCAGGAUGAAGCGAGCAUGAGAGGAGGCGCUUGGAAAAUCUGACUUAACUAAGAAGGGAUAGGGAAUCCUUGAUAGAAGACCUGCAAGUAUCAAAGACCCAGAUCUAGACCCAGCUGCUCGCAUCCGGGCCUCUGUAGAUUCAGGACGGCGGACAGAACCUCGCGGGCCUGGGUCUCCUUUCCUCUCGCAACAGCACCGCAGAGAGCGCCCUUCAGCACCGCGGACAGCAAUCCUGCUGGGGUCAGAGCUUCCACCCAGCCUCUGCCUGGAAAUGGCUCUUUGGGGCAGUUGGGAUGCAGGCCCGCGAGCGGCUGAAUAGAUCAAUUAUUUUUCAGAACAUGAUUUUGAUCCCGAUGUUACUUCUCAGGAUCACUGAGUGGAAAGGGCUCGCGGAGAAAAUGGCAUUUUUUAUCACCCUGGCAAAAUGCUCCCGCACUGAUGAGAUGAGGCGCCCGGCGAGUGCGCGCGCGCACUUGUGAUACAUAACUAACCAGAAGCAUAAUCUUCUAAAUUGAAAGCCAUAAUGUUUGCUGUUGGAGCUAAAUAUUAACAGGGCGUUGUCUCCCCCAACGACCCUCGGGAGACAGCUGGCUUAGCGGGAGGCUGCCGUCAUAUUCAAGCAACUUGAUUAAAUUCCUUUCUGCCAUCAGAAUUAAGAAAUGAAUAGUUUUAUGAGAGUCAUGCCACAGAGGACAGGAAAAUGAAAUGUUCAGGAAAGAGAGCAGGAGGGUUGCCUGCUCUGUGUUCCUGUAGGGAGUGCUGUCAAUCUACCUAGAAGGGGUGGGCUCAGUAUUGUGUAUGAUAGGCAGUCUUGACUCCUCUCUGGUCAUAAAACACACUGUGGAGCCUCCUUAGGAGAUCUCUCAGUUGUUCAUGGGAGAGGCAGCAAAUUGUGUGGCUGACUUCAUGAUCUCCGGAUCUAGAACCACUGUAUUCAAAUCCCAUUGUUAUUCCCAAGUUGCUGUGUGAUCUUAGGCAAAUUAUCUAACCUUUCUGUGGCAAAGCUUUUCUAGUUGUAAUAAAAUGAAUUUAUCUCAGUACUUAA
Long non-coding RNA from Mus musculus (house mouse), 1819 nucleotides. RefSeq annotates it as predicted gene, 46869. The record is from RefSeq and is a predicted model, not a curated record. The transcript has 4 exons. NCBI's taxonomy places the organism in Eukaryota, Metazoa, Chordata, Mammalia, Rodentia, Muridae.